Molecule: ribosomal RNA, 494 nt
Filed under: uncultured bacterium
Lineage: Bacteria
Description: partial 16S ribosomal RNA
Rfam family: Bacterial small subunit ribosomal RNA
Source: RNAcentral
GACGAACGCUGGCGGCGUGCUUAACACAUGCAAGUCGAACGGAAAGGCCUGCUUUCCCUUGUGGAUUGCGGGUACUCGAGUGGCGAACGGGUGAGUAACACGUGAGUGAUCUGCCCCCAACUUGGGUAUAAGCCUGGGAAACUGGGUCUAAUUCCCGAUAGGACUGCAGGGUGGUGCCUGUGGUGGAAAACGAUUUUCUAGUGGUUGGGGAUGAGCUCGCGGCCUAUCAGCUUGUUGGUGGGGUAAUGGCCUACCAAGGCGGCGACGGGUAGCCGGCCUGAGAGGGUGGACGGCCGCAUUGGGACUGAGAUACGGCCCAGACUCCUACGGGAGGCAGCAGUGGGGAAUAUUGCACAAUGGGCGGAAGCCUGAUGCAGCGACGCCGCGUGGGAGAUGACGGCCUUCGGGUUGUAAACUCCUUUCGACCGCGAGGAAGCCACCUGGUUGGAAGGGUGGUGACGGUAGUGGUAGAAGAAGCACCGGCUAACUACGUG